RNAcentral lists this ribosomal RNA (440 nucleotides) under uncultured bacterium. RNAcentral describes it as "partial 16S ribosomal RNA". It matches the Rfam family "Bacterial small subunit ribosomal RNA", at positions 338 to 795 of the family's 1533-position model. The record is from RNAcentral.
CCUACGGGUGGCAGCAGUAGGGAAUAUUGCUCAAUGGGGGAAACUCUGAAGCAGCCAAGUAGCGUGGAGGAUGACGGUUUUCUGAUUGUUAACUCCUUUUUUUAGAGAAGUUAAUGACGGUACCUAACGAAUUAGCACCGGCUAACUCCGUGCAAGCAGCCGCGGUAAUACGGAGGGUGCCAGCGUUACUCGGAAUCACUGGGCGUAAAGCGCGAGUAGGUGGGAUAGCAAGUCAGAUGUGAAAUCCUAUGGCUUAACCAUAGAACUGCAUUUGAAACUGGUAUUCUAGAGUAUGGUAGAGGUAGGUGGAAUUCUUGGUGUAGCGGUAAAAUGCGUAGAGAUCAAGAGGAAUACUCAUUGCGAAGGCGACCUGCUAGAACAUAACUGACGCUGAUGCGCGAAAGUGUGGGUAGCAAACAGGAUUAGAUACCCUAGUAGUC